UAUGUUUUAGUAUAUUAUGUACGUAAGUUUUUGAUACUUAAGGAGAUAGAUUAAUUCUAUUAAAUGUAA
This 69-nucleotide transfer RNA is filed under the name Dicronorhina derbyana. RNAcentral's name for it is "tRNA-Gln". Lineage: Eukaryota; Metazoa; Arthropoda; Insecta; Coleoptera; Scarabaeidae. The record is from RNAcentral.